UACGUAGGGUGCGAGCGUUAAUCGGAAUUACUGGGCGUAAAGCGUGCGCAGGCGGUUCGUGAUGUCUGGUGUGAAAGCCCCGGGCUUAACCUGGGAAUUGCAUUGGAAACUAGCGGGCUGGAGUGUGGCAGAGGGGGGUGGAAUUCCACGUGUAGCAGUGAAAUGCGUAGAGAUGUGGAGGAACACCGAUGGCGAAGGCAAUCCCCUGGGCCUGCACUGACGCUCAUGCACGAAAGCGUGGGGAGCAAACAGG
RNAcentral lists this ribosomal RNA (253 nucleotides) under uncultured bacterium. RNAcentral's name for it is "partial 16S ribosomal RNA". It matches the Rfam family "Bacterial small subunit ribosomal RNA", at positions 524 to 776 of the family's 1533-position model. The record is from RNAcentral.